This is a long non-coding RNA of Drosophila navojoa, 104 nucleotides long. The record is from RefSeq and is a predicted model, not a curated record. Lineage: Eukaryota; Metazoa; Arthropoda; Insecta; Diptera; Drosophilidae.
AAGAGCGAGAGAAAGAGAGAGAAGAAGCUUUUAUUUCUCUGCCUCUUCUUCAGAUUCUUUUAGGUGGUUUUGUGGCCGUUGUUGUCGGUGUUGUUGUUGUUCUC